ACUAUCAGAGUCUCCAUUCCUGU
This 23-nucleotide microRNA is filed under the name Cavia porcellus (domestic guinea pig). Its description in RNAcentral is "cpo-miR-12078-3p". Lineage: Eukaryota; Metazoa; Chordata; Mammalia; Rodentia; Caviidae. The record is from miRBase by way of RNAcentral.